This 225-nucleotide unclassified non-coding RNA is filed under the name Hevea brasiliensis (rubber tree). The record is from RNAcentral. Lineage: Eukaryota; Viridiplantae; Streptophyta; Magnoliopsida; Malpighiales; Euphorbiaceae.
GAAAAAGAGAGAUUUUUGUUUGGAUUUCGUAUGGAAAACAAGAUGGGUAUGACAGUCACCUCAGGCAGUGUCAACCUUGAGAAAGAUGACAGUAACCUCAUCGGCAUUAGUAUUGGGGGCGGAGCUAAAUACUGUCCGUGUCUCUAUGUUGUCCAGGUCUUUGACAACACCGCAGCAUCUCGGGAUGGCACCCUUCAGAGUGGAGAUGAGAUCACCGGGGUGAAU